ACCUACUCCUAUGGAGGCAGCAGUAGGGAAUCUUCCGCAAUGGACGAAAGUCUGACGGAGCAACGCCGCGUGAGUGAUGAAGGCUUUCGGGUCGUAAAACUCUGUUGUUAGGGAAGAACAAGUACAAGAGUAACUGCUUGUACCUUGACGGUACCUAACCAGAAAGCCACGGCUAACUACGUGCCAGCAGCCGCGGUAAUACGUAGGUGGCAAGCGUUAUCCGGAAUUAUUGGGCGUAAAGCGCGCGCAGGCGGUUUCUUAAGUCUGAUGUGAAAGCCCACGGCUCAACCGUGGAGGGUCAUUGGAAACUGGGGAACUGAGUCAGAAGAGAAAAGCGAUGCACCU
RNAcentral lists this ribosomal RNA (345 nucleotides) under bacterium. RNAcentral's name for it is "bacterial SSU rRNA". It matches the Rfam family "Bacterial small subunit ribosomal RNA", at positions 331 to 669 of the family's 1533-position model. RNAcentral also lists the same sequence under 1 other name. The record is from RNAcentral.